CAUGUCCGUCAGUGUCUGUACGAGCAGUCAGCUCUUCUCUUUCGUAUGUGUUAAACAAACAACCAGCAAAUAUGUUUUUCAUAUUUAUCACUCAGAUUAAGUGAAGCAUAGCUGCUCUGGGAGUGACGUCACGUCCUGGUGCUGACGGAACAAUAGUUGCGGCUUCGGGUGGAGAUUUCUAGUGCUACUAGCUAUUGCAUCGGUUUAUUCCCCAAAAACUGAACUAUUAUGUCCAAAACUUAAUGAAACUAUGUAAUAUCUCAUCAUGCUUUGGACGUUGGUUGCCUUCGGGUAUGUCGCCGCCUUCACGGCUCCAGGGCUGUGCUGUCGUCAUAAGGAAUAUGAAACAAGAGAUGGACAAUGCUGCCCGAUGUGCCACGAAGGUACAGUUGUUAGAAAAGACUGCACACCAGAGUCAGGCACACGGUGCAGCCCCUGUGAGUAUGGGACUUUUAUGAAGCACCCAAAUGGCCUGACUAAGUGUUUCUCCUGCACCUCCUGUGACCAAGGUCUUAUUGCCGUACAGGAGUGCAGAGCAACAAGCGACACAGUUUGCGAUGUUUUACCUGGGUAUUUCUGCAAAAGCUUGGCAGAUGAUACAGGAUGUAGUUUGGCAGAGAAACAUAAACGCUGUGCUCCUGGUCAGAGGAUAAAACAAGCUGGAACCAGCAGAACUGAUGCAGUGUGUGAACACUGUCAGCAAGGAUAUUUUUCACAGGAUGGUGUGAAUUGCACGGCUUGGACUACUUGCUCAGAAACUCAACUAAAGUUCAAAGAAGGAAGCGCGACCAGCGACGUUGUCUGUGCAUCUGCUUCAAGAGCACAUUACUCUUAUAUACCUGUAUUGUUAUUAUCAUUAACACUUGUUGGGCUUCUGUUCGGAGGCAGGCUAACAUUGAAAAACCUUUAGAGUCUCCCGUACAGGAGUGAAAACUGAAGAGUGGACGCUGUUUCAGAUUGAAGUGUCUAAUACCCGUUUUUUCUACAGCAGACAGACGCACCCACAUCUAUAUGAGACAGCUGUUACAGGUUCAUCUCUGUUGUCACCAGCAGAGACUUCAAUCUGCAGUGUAGUUCCUUAAACAUCACUGAUAAACCAGAUGAUCAGAGAAUGAAAUUACAUGAUCAUCAAAAAAAAUUGUCAGUCUUAUGAAAAGACCCAAAACAGUAAGUAUUAGAUCGUACUAACAAGUAUUGAGUUUUGCUUAGUCUCAACCACUGAAUUAUUCUUGUAUUUUAUACCUCUCGUUCUAUUUUAGCUUGUUUUUAUUUUCUGUUCUCUUGGCUCUUUAAUGACCUUUGUGGUGUGUUUCUUUUGCACUUUGUCGCAAUGCUUUUGAUGUUUUGUGUGAAGCACUUGGCGUUGCCUUGUUGCUGAAAUAUGAUGCAUAAAUAAACUUGCCUUGCCUUAUUCCUCUGAGCCACCGAGCUCCAUUGUUGACCAAAAACUAUUAACGAGACCAGAGGUGGGUAGAGUAGCCAAAAACUGUAGUUUACUCAAACUCAAACGUUUAUGGCUCAAGUAGAAGUAAAGUAAUCAUCAAAAUAACUACCUGAGUGAGAGUACAAACGUAUUUACUGAAAAAAUGACUUGGUUAGCGAGGAACUUAAAAUAAAAAGAAUAAUAAAAAAGACAGGCACAAACUGUCUUUAUUUGAUGUGGAUAUGAGUGGAAUUAUUUCAACCACAGAUGGUCUUCCUCGGGUCUUCCUCGUGCUUUCUGUAUUUAUUUAUGAUGAAAUGACAAGUCAUCUCCUGACUGGAUAACCUGCCACAUAUGCCGAUGCCUGUGUUUGAAUGAUUUUUCAUUUUGGCUUUUAAGCCCUAAUAGAGUGACAUCUUUUAAAUCACUUUUCAAAACGUAUCUUUAAAAAAAAAAAGAAGCUUUUUAUUAAUGCUAGCACACUGUUUUAUUUCCAACAUAUCUGUUUCAUUAUUGCUGUUUUUUAUUAUUGUAUUUAUCUUUGUCUUGUUUUAUAUUGUUCGGUAUUAAUUUCCUUUUUAUUUCUGGAUUCUUUUUGAUUGUCUGAUUUUAUUUGCCUCCUCGCCUCCUGAAAUGUUUGAAUCCUAGUUAACAGUCUCAUCGCAGGAAGAGUCGCUGCGGACGUGACCUGAUGUUUACGGGAAAAUCUGGAUCCUAGUUUGGAACCAUUGUUGUGAAUUAAUGUCGCCAUGAAAGUUUGAGACCAGUCUCAUGUUUACAAAAUGUUCAGCGGUUUUCAAAGACGACCGACUUUCGGUCACUUUGUCAGAUGUGUACUGUAAAUGAACCACAUCCUGUGAGAUGUAAAAUGACACAAAGAAAGUUAUAUUUUGAAAAACCAGCUUAGUUAUUUAAGCCCUUAUGACUUGGAUAAUAAUAAUGACAAGAGGCUCAUUUUCUCUGUGUGAACAGACUGAAAUAGGCAAAUGUUUGCUAAAAUGUUACCAUAUCAAGGAGUAAGCAUAAGUAACUAUUCUGUGUUCUGCUCCCUUUAAGGAUGAAACCUAUUUUUACAGAGAGCCUUUUCUUCACCACUUUUAUUUCUUUUGGGCUUAAUUUCCCAUAUGUGUGUUUCAAUGUUUAAUUGUGAUUUUACUUUUCAUUAACAAGUCUAGCUAAUGCACACCUGGUAGACAGGUGUGAAGGAACGCAGGACACUGAGCUUCUUAAAGACACAAUAUUUUGGACCUUUUCAACCUUUUCUUUCACAGCUUUUCAUCAAUGAGACAUUUAUAAAUUUAACUAUAAUUACUAAUUACUUUGUCGAUCAGGGUUUUGCACCAUCAGCUUAUAAUCUAUGAUGCGUUGUUGGCAAUAACAUUAAGCAACAGUAUAUUAAGUAGUUAAUAUUAACUCGACCAUGAGCAACUACAAGAGUAAAAUGCUACUUACACAUUCAUGGAUCAGUACCAACCCAGUAAUAUAUAGCAGCACUAAACACAGUGUUACACACAGCCAUUUUCUGCAUAAUGACUAUUUUACUGAUAACAUUUUGAACGCAGGAUUUACACGAAUGCCUCUCUCACCGCUGCUGUAACUUGUCACUUCCCAGUGACCAGUGUGUCACUACAUGUGGGUCUUAAAUUCUGUAUUCGUGAUGUAGGCUUUAAAGCUUUUGUCCUGUAACAAAGCAGUGUGCCUUCUGCCAGACUUGUAUCUAUUGUUUAAUGUAUCUCAUUGUAUUGUUUUAAAUUUAUUUAAUUUUACUUUGCUUUUUAUUGUUUUGAAUGUUGUUCUAAUGCAUUCCUUCACUUUGUGUUACACACUUUGAACUGCCUCUCUGUUUCAAAGUUGCAAUACAAAUAAAGUUUCCUUGCCUUGACUAACUCA
Siniperca chuatsi (mandarin fish) is the source of this 3313-nucleotide RNA transcript. It is a transcript of the gene named tumor necrosis factor receptor superfamily member 14, with no coding region annotated. The transcript is spliced from 10 exons. The record is from RefSeq and is a predicted model, not a curated record. Lineage: Eukaryota; Metazoa; Chordata; Actinopteri; Centrarchiformes; Sinipercidae.